UUCGCAAUGCCCGAAAGGGUGACGAAGCGACGCCGCGUGAGCGAAGAAGGCCCUAGGGUUGUAAAGCUCUGUCGGGGGUUAUGAAAUGCAGGUUGGUUAAUACCCAACCUGUUUGACAAAGGCCCCAAAGGAAGCCACGGCUAACUCUGUGCCAGCAGCCGCGGUAAUACAGAGGUGGCGAGCGUUGUUCGGUAUUAUUGGGCGUAAAGAGCACGUAGGUGGUUUUGUAAGUCAGAUGUGAAAGCCUUCUGUUCAAAGGAAGAACGGCAUCUGAAACUGCAGAUCUUGAGUGUAGGAGGGGAGAGUGGAACUUCUGGUGGAGCGGUGAAAUGCGUAGAUAUCAAGGGGAACGCCGGCGGCGAAAGCGGCUCUCUGGUCUGAUACCGACGCUGAGGUGCGAAAGCUAGGGGAGCAAAAAGGAUUAGAUACCCUUGUAGUCCUAGCUGUAAACGAUGGGCACUAAGUAGAGGGGUUUU
RNAcentral lists this ribosomal RNA (476 nucleotides) under uncultured anaerobic ammonium-oxidizing bacterium. RNAcentral describes it as "bacterial SSU rRNA". It matches the Rfam family "Bacterial small subunit ribosomal RNA", at positions 365 to 832 of the family's 1533-position model. The record is from RNAcentral.